RNAcentral lists this long non-coding RNA (816 nucleotides) under Trifolium pratense (red clover). RNAcentral describes it as "long non-coding RNA (TPRA_LNC002142)". Lineage: Eukaryota; Viridiplantae; Streptophyta; Magnoliopsida; Fabales; Fabaceae. The record is from RNAcentral.
ACUGGUAUAGUAACAACCAUUGCAAUUUUUUUUUUGACGAACCAUUGCAAUUGAAAUGCUUAAAUCAUGCAUGGUUGAAUCAGUUUAUAGCUCUUUCUCACUACGUGCUUUUAACUUUGUAUAUCAUAGUGGUCCUGAUGACAGAUUUGCUCCAGACCNGCCAACAUUAUCUCCUAACUUUAAUACCCUUGCAGUUGAUGAGGUGUGUUAAUCCCUUUCUAUUGUAGAAUAUGUCAUAUAAGUACCGUUUAUGUUUUUUAAUUGCUUGUAGAAACAAAUCUUUGUAGAUACCUUUUUAUAUCCUUAUGUUGCUGUUUGAAGUAGUAUCUAGAGGAAUAGCGAACUUUCAGUAUAUCACACAAGGUUGAUUACAAAAUUAUGCAAGGGCUUGUUGCGUCUUAAUGCUAAACCCUCUGAAAUAUUUAGACCUCAUGUAUUCAUGUUAGAAAUAGACUCGGCAUGUGGAAGUAUCAUUCGAGUUGUAUUAAUUAUGAUUAAAUUUCACUCUACAAUUUAGCCUAAUCAGUUUUGAUUAGAAGAAAUUUAUGAAAGGGCCUGAUAAUAUAUGAUUAAAUUGCAGUCUACAAUUUAGCCUAAUCAGUUUUGAUUAGAAGAAAUUUAUUAAUUAUAAAAAAAUUCUAAAAUGCUUGGAUUUUGCUGCGAUAUCGCUAGGAAUACGUAGCUAGAGAUUUAUUGCAAAAUCGUUGUGAUAAUAUCCUAGCAAUUUAGUUAGGAAACACAAACUUUUGAACAUUAUUUAACUAGGUAUUAAUUGGGAAUUAGCUAGAAUAUUCUUUAUAUUAGUUGCAAAUUAGC